AUGAUCCUGCUUCCUCAUUUGGACUCAUUCACCUCAGCUGACACAUUCAACAGCAGACAGGUUUUUGUAGCAGUCUGUUUCACUGUGGGAGGAUAUGGCUACUACAUCUUUGGCUCUGGAACUAAACUGUCUGUAACAGAUGAGCAGGUAGUGAAGCCCGUGGUGAGCGUGUACCCAGCAGCAUCCAGAGCCCACCUGGAGGGGAACAGCUCCCUGCUGUGUGUGGCCUCAGCCAUGUUUCCUCCUCUGGUCCAGUUCUCCUGGAAAAGACAGAAGAAGAACGGCGGAGAAGCGGAGGAGCUGCCCCUGCUGAGGGAGAGCAGCUGGAGCUCAGAGAGUCGGGACGCACCAUUGCCAUCAGGAUGGUUGAUGGGAGUGAUUCUGACACAUAUAAAUACAGCUGCUGGGUGAAGCACGAGGGGGGCACAGUGGAGGCCCAAACACAACAAGAGGUUCCAGCUCCAGCAGCCUCCUGUCCUCCAGAGAGAGAGCCAGCAGACCUGCCAGCUCUGCAGCCAGCUGACUGUAAGAUCACCUGCUGCCUCUCUGCAUGGACAGCUCCAAUGUCCAAUGAGGGAGCUGGAACAAGUUUAGGGACUUAAAGUUGCACUAAUUGAUCAAAUCUUCAUCCAACAAGCUCUGAUAAAGCCACUGUACACUAGCUGCUCAGCACCAAACAGCAGACAGACCAUAAUAUGUCAGAGAUCAGUUUGUUAGCUGCUUGUGGAGUUCUUCUGCCCCCAAGUGGACACAAACACUACAUCAAUUCAUCCACUUGAAGAAGAAGCUGUGACUGUUUCUAUUUGGACUUUUUCUCCUUGAUCUGAGAGGAAUAACCCGACUGUCUGUCUGUCUCUUUGUGUCUGUCUGUCCUUCAGUGUCCUUCCAGUCUCAGUGCAGGGUGAAGCUGCUCUGCCUGCUGUACACAGUGCUGAUAGUGAAGAGUCUGGUGUACUGCUGUGGACUCUCGCUGCUGAUGAUCCUCACAAACAAGGGACCGUCCACCAACUGCACACAUGCUGACUGACUGUUUUCUGCUCGCCUUUUCUCACCAUCAAAUCUCAUCAAUUCAUCUCAUUCAUCACUUUGAUCAGUAUCACAAAUGUUAGUUAUGAUGUGUUGUGCUUAUUUUGGCUUUUUAUUCAAUAGUUAGAAGAUCAUCUGAAAUAAAUACAUCUUUACAUGUAUUGUUACUCUGAGUUAGAAUUCUUUUUGUACUUAUUGUGAUUUUUAUUGUAGUAACAAAAAUCAUCAGGUAUAUUUUUAUCACAAGUUUUCUGUUUGAUUUGCUUUUGGUUGAUUUUCAAAUGUCAAACAGUGUAGUUGUGUUUGUAAGUGUGAAUAAUAAAGAUUUCAAGAUGAAGAAUUUGAUUCUACUUUCAUUGUGUGAUAAACAACAACCCGUGUGAGUGAAGCACAAACUGACUGUAUCCAAACUUGCUCUCCUGCAGCAGACGGGCUGUGUGGGUUUCUGCUCUGCAGCCUCCACACCGUUAGCUGUGGCUUUUCACUUUAAUAACACAAUGACAGUUACAAGCAUGAACUCUGCUUAAAGAAUGAUUGAAUAGUCAUAAAAG
This 1577-nucleotide long non-coding RNA is filed under the name Oreochromis niloticus (Nile tilapia). Its description in RNAcentral is "lncRNA (ENSONIG00000033233.1)". Lineage: Eukaryota; Metazoa; Chordata; Actinopteri; Cichliformes; Cichlidae. The record is from RNAcentral.